Molecule: ribosomal RNA, 236 nt
Filed under: uncultured bacterium
Lineage: Bacteria
Description: partial 16S ribosomal RNA
Rfam family: Bacterial small subunit ribosomal RNA
Source: RNAcentral
CGGGACGGGGUGGAGUAAUGUCUGGGAAACGUGCCUGAUGGAGGGGGGUAACUACUGGAAACGGUAGCUAAUACCGCAUAACGUCGCAAGACCAAGAGGGGGACCGUUCGGGCCUCUUGCCAUCGGAUGUGCCCAGAUGGGAUUAGCUAGUAGGUGGGGUAACGGCUCACCUAGGCGACGAUCCCUAGCUGGUCUGAGAGGAUGACCAGCCACACUGGAACUGAGACACGGUCCAG